Molecule: ribosomal RNA, 440 nt
Filed under: uncultured bacterium
Lineage: Bacteria
Description: partial 16S ribosomal RNA
Rfam family: Bacterial small subunit ribosomal RNA
Source: RNAcentral
CCUACGGGUGGCAGCAGUAGGGAAUAUUGCUCAAUGGGGGAAACCCUGAAGCAGCAACGCCGCGUGGAGGAUGAAGGUUUUCGGAUUGUAAACUCCUUUUGUUAGAGAAGAUAAUGACGGUAUCUAACGAAUAAGCACCGGCUAACUCCGUGCCAGCAGCCGCGGUAAUACGGAGGGUGCAAGCGUUACUCGGAAUCACUGGGCGUAAAGAGGGCGUAGGCGGGAUAGCAAGUCAGAUGUGAAAUCCUAUGGCUUAACCAUGGAACUGCAUUUGAAACUGUUAUUCUAGAGUGUAGGAGAGGUAGGUGGAAUUCUUGGUGUAGGGGUAAAAUCCGUAGAGAUCAAGAGGAAUACUCAUUGCGAAGGCGACCUGCUAGAACAUAACUGACGCUGAUGCGCGAAAGCGUGGGGAGCAAACAGGAUUAGAUACCCUUGUAGUC